UGAGCGUUCUGCACAGCGGAGAAGGGUGACUGAAAAGACGCCUGGAGCGUGCAGAAGAGAGAAUGCUGGCAUGAGUAGCGAGAAACACGUGAGAACCGUGUUCGCCGUAAAUCUAAGGUUUCCGACGGAAGGUCAAUCCACGUCGGGUUAGUCGGGCCUAAGGCGAGGCCGGAUGGCGUAGUCGAUGGACAACAGGUUAAUAUUCCUGUACCACGUAAUACCGAUUGAGUGAAGGGGUGACGCAGGGGGGUAGGCCAGCCAGUUAUUGGAUUCUGGUGCUAAGCCUGUAGGGCGACGAAAGGGAUAGGGAAAACCGUUCCUAGAGCCUGAGGGGUGAUGGCGGAGCCCGAGAGGGCCGGAAGUGGUUGAGCCCGCGCUGCCGAGAAAAGCCUCUAGCGAGGUAUGCGUGACCGUACCGCAAACCGACACAGGUAGAUGGGUAGAGAAUACCAAGGCGAACGGGAGAACCCUUGUUAAGGAACUAGGCAAAUUAAGUCCGUAACUUAGGGAAAAGGACUGCCACUGGUUGUGAGGGCGACUAGCUUGUCUGAGCGAUUGGUGGUCGCAGCGAAAUGGCUCUGCCGACUGUUUAACAAUAACACAGGUCUCUGCGAAAGCGAAAGCUGACGUAUAGGGGCUGACGCCUGCCCAGUGCCGGAAGGUUAAGGGGAGAUGUGAUGAGCAUUGAACCGAAGCCCCGGUGAACGGCGGCCGUAACUAUAACGGUCCUAAGGUAGCGAAAUUCCUUGUCGGGUAAGUUCCGACCCGCACGAAAGGCGUAACGAGCAGAGCACUGUCUCAACAAGGGACCCGGCGAAGUUGAAAUAGCGGUGAAGAUGCCGUUUACCCGCAGCAGGACAAAAAGACCCCGUGGAGCUUUACUGUAGCUUGACAUUGAGUUAGGGCUUUGUCUGUGUAGGAUAGGUGGGAGGCUGUGAAGCUGGUCCGCUAGGAUCGGUGGAGUCGACGUUGAAAUACCACCCUGAUGGAGUCUUGGCUCUAACCUGUGGCCCUAAUCGGGCAUGGGGACAGUGUCUGGUAGGCAGUUUGACUGGGGCGGUCGCCUCCUAAAGAGUAACGGAGGCGCCCAAAGGUUCCCUCAGGCUGAAUGGAAACCAGCCGCAGAGUGUAAAGGCAUAAGGGAGCUUGACUGCGAGACAAACAAGUCGAGCAGAGACGAAAGUCGGGCUUAGUGAUCCUACGGUUCCGAGUGGAAGGGCCGUGGCUUAACGGACAAAAGCUACCCCGGGGAUAACAGGCUGAUCUCCUCCAUG
Molecule: ribosomal RNA, 1274 nt
Filed under: metagenome
Description: bacterial LSU rRNA
Rfam family: Bacterial large subunit ribosomal RNA
Source: RNAcentral